GAGGCCGCGGCUGGAGCCGGGCAGGGGCGCGGGAGAAGCAGGUACCGGCGCGGGCUGCGCAGCCCCAGGCGGGAGAGCUGCGCUCACUGCCUGCCGGAAGGACGGUCCCCGCGGGAGCCAGGGACCGACCGCGGUGUCCGAGCGGGCGGAAUUAGCGCCUGGCCCGGGCACGGUCCGAAGUCCGCGCUAUGGGAGAAGAGAAAUACUUGCCUGAGCUGAUGGCAGAGAAGGAUAGCCUGGAUCCAUCUUUUGUGCACGCGUCGCGCCUUCUGGCGGAAGAAAUUGAGAAAUUUCAAGGUUCAGAUGGAAAAAAGGAAGACGAAGAAAAGAAAUAUCUUGAUGUCAUCAGCAACAAAAACAUAAAGCUUUCUGAAAGAGUAUUGAUUCCUGUUAAGCAAUACCCAAAGUUCAAUUUUGUGGGAAAAUUGCUUGGACCAAGAGGAAACUCCCUGAAGAGGCUACAGGAAGAAGCAGGUGCUAAGAUGUCUAUCCUUGGCAAAGGAUCCAUGCGAGACAAAGCAAAGGAAGAAGAGCUGAGGAAGAGCGGAGAGGCCAAGUAUGCACACCUGAGUGAUGAACUGCAUGUAUUAAUUGAAGUGUUUGCUCCACCUGGGGAAGCUUAUUCACGGAUGAGUCAUGCCUUGGAAGAGAUUAAAAAAUUCCUGGUUCCUGACUACAACGAUGAAAUUCGUCAAGAACAACUCCGAGAGUUGUCUUACUUAAAUGGCUCAGAAGAGUCUGGCCGUGGCCGAGGUCUUAGAGGCAGAGGAAUCAGAAUAACUCCCAUAGCUCCUUCAAGGGGCCGUGGGGGUGCUAUUCCUCCACCACCACCACCUGGACGCGGUGUUCUUACCCCUCGGGGGACCACUGUGACCCGUGGAGCUCUUCCAGUGCCCCCAAUAGCGAGAGGUGUCCCUACACCUCGUGCUCGUGGGACCGCAGCAGUACCCGGGUACAGAGCACCCCCACCUCCAGCCCAUGAGGCUUAUGAAGAAUACGGGUACGAUGAUGGCUAUGGGGGUGAAUACGAUGACCAGACCUAUGAGGCUUACGAUAAUAGCUACGUGACCCCGACACAAAGUGUGCCUGAAUACUAUGACUAUGGUCACGGAGUAAAUGAGGAUGCCUACGACAGCUACGCACCAGAAGAAUGGGCCACAGCUCGCUCCAGCCUGAAGGCACCACCACCAAGGUCAGCCAGAGGGGGAUACAGGGAACACCCCUAUGGUAGAUAUUGAAGGUCCUCUUCACCUGUGACCUCCUCAGAGACAGUUCAUAGCCUCUGGUCUCCACAUAAACAGCAACAAGACAAGUACACACAAAGAACACCAUAAAUGGUACCAGCUGUGAUGGGCUAAGGAGGAUAAAGGACUUCAUUCCUUUGUAUGGCUGAAUAGUAUUCUGCUAUGCAUAUGGACUACAUUUACUUUAUCUGUUCAUCGGUUGAUGGCCAUUUUGGUAUUUCCAUGUCUUGACUACUUUGAAUAGAGCUGCAAUGAACAUAGGAAUGCAGACUAAAGAAGAAGUUAAUUUGGCCCAGGGCUGAAAAAAAAUGUCAUCAUAAAUGAGAUGAGAUUGGAUGGAAUGACCAGAUGUGGAGAAAAACUUGACACAGAAAGAAAAGGGUGGGGAAACCUCUGCUGUUCACUGCUAUUGCUGCCCACUAAUAGAGAAGCCCCAGCUCUCCUAGGAGAACACCUGUCAGUAAAACCCUGCUGUCCAGCCAGUGAGGUGGAAAAGUAAGUGGACACUUCGGCCCAUUCUGCUGUAGCAUCCUGCUUCUCCUAAACAGUCCAACCUGGAUGUCUUCAGAACACACCUAGAGCAUAUUAUGUGAGUGUUUGUUCACUUAUCACAAAUCAAAACUACCUCGAAGAGAGGAAGAAUACGAUACAAUCACAAGAGUAUACUGGGAACCAGACCAUCUGCUUUCUGGUUCUGGCCUCAAUCCUUUCUAAGUGGUAGAUUGCAAACAAGCUGUGAACCUCUGCUUUUCUUCUCUCUCCACCUUCUUUCUUAAGCAGAGAUCAUAAAAUCAUUGAAUUCAUAAGACUUCAUCCUAGAAGUAAAUAACAGAACACACAAAGCCUUUGGAAUAAUGUCCAACAUGCUUAAUAAUUGUUUCUCAGUCAUUUUUGUCAUCUUUAUAAUUACUUUUGUCUGUUUCCAUUCCAAAAUUAAGAUAGGAUUGCUGCUAAUACAUGAUGAUUAAAUUUCCACCAAGACUAAGUAAGCGGGGAAAUGAAAAACUCACAUAAGUAGUAGCAAGAAUUGAAAGGCGGCAUCAGAAAAGAUGUAGGAGAAACAUGAAAAGGUGCAGCAGAAAGACAGGAUUAUCUGUUUGCUCUCUUUUACUCUUACCUUGAUAGAAAAUAUGACUUUACAUACCUGUCAAGAACGUAAUGAACACUAGUCUUACAGCAUCUCCUACAGUCUAAGCAAUUUGGAAAACAAUUAAUCACCAUCCACUCCACAGUCAGCUUGGCAUUGCUGAGGAGUCUGCAUUGACAUACCUGGGUGGUUAGGAAACUUCCUCAUUCAAAGGCUCUUUGACCCCCUUUUCUUUGUCCCAAAGGGCGCAAUUACAUUCUCCCCACACAUCAUUAUAAAUAGCACUAUUAGUCCUUAAAGUAAGAGACCCUCUCAUGCUGUUUUCUUUCCUUUUUGAUUCUUUAUUAAUAUGUGUGAUUCAUUUAAUAUAUAUUUAUUUAGGUUCUCCCUAUGGACACAGCACUGCACUAGAUACCUGAUAUAAAAACAAAUGUAAACCACAAACCAAGCAGCCAUCAACAAAUAGAGUCUGCUCCCAUGAAGCUUCUGUCUAAUUACAGCUCUCAACAGCAAAUCACCAGAAAUGUAUGCCAGAAAUUAGUUGAAAGCUUUAGAUACGAUGAUGAGGUUGGGAAGUUUGAAGGCUGUCUUAGGGCAAUACGCUGACAUUUAAGCAUCAUCUGAAGACAGAAAAGAAGCAGGCAUUCAAGUUCCGGGCAAGAUUCCCAUGGCAUGCAGAAAGAACAGCCGCCGUACAGGUGUCGUGGUGUGGCGUGAGCAUGCAUGCAUGCAUCCCUGCAUCUGUAGUGGGACGUGGAGAGCCAUGGGAGAAUCACCAUGAGGAGAGCAUGGAGGAGCAAGUGGUGAUCAGAGAAUGCAGCUUCUUGUGGUAUGAGUGUUCUUAAUGUAGACCAUGGCACCGUUAGAAGUUAUUUAAACAGGCUACUGUGGCUUAAUACAUAUUAUAAGAGACACUCCUGACUGCUUUAUGGAGAACAUGGGGGAAGAGGGUGUAAAUAAAAUAUGAAGACAACUACCAGAACAGUGCAAGCCAGAGAAGAUGCUUGUAGUUCAGACAUGCUUAGGAGUGACUGAAUUGGAAAGGGAAGAACCACGUAAAAGCCGGAUGUGUCUGCUUCAUGUGUUGGGUGACAGUCCCACUUGAAAAAAAAAACAGUAGAAAUAAGUUUUCUGUCUUGAUCAGGUCUUUUCAUGAUAUGAUUUUGACAUUCCAACAGAGAUGCUAAGUAGCCAUGGGAUCACACUAGUGUGGAGUUCCUCUGUCAAUAGCCUCUGCACUAUGACCCCUCGGUUGUUUAACUCCUUCACUACAGGGUAAAACCAGUCAGUUCAAAAGUCACUCCAGGAGAAAAAAAGACAAAAUGUUACACAUGCAUUUAUUUUUCUUAAAGUAGGCUACCUAAAUCUUUACCCAUUUAAAGAUAUGCCUGCUCUGUGUUUCCUAUCAAACCUGACUCCACAUCUCUGGUAGUUGGUAAAUGCUAGCUCAGAUGUAUUUGGACCUGACAUCUACUUCCCCAACAAUCUGAUGCUUUGUAUGAUUCCUUUGUCCUCCCCUACACUCUUCCAUAUCUCAGAAUCUGGACAAGACUUGCAGAUAAGGGACAUUUCCCUACACCAGAGUUUGUCAAAGUAGCCCACUGAAUCUUGUGUGAGCUACUGCCACCUUGAAGUCUUACCACUGUUCUUGAUCAGUUUCAAAAACUCCUCAACCCCAAAAUAGCCCAAAGGGGAGGAGAGAUCUUCCCUUAGAUGCCUUUCUGGAAAAGAUUAGCAGUGAGAAUUAAUUCUGUUAGUUCAGGAACCUAGAGAAUCAGGUGCCAUGUAAAAUAUGGGCCUUAGAGAGGAAUCAUAUGCAUAUAACCACGGGGUCAGUGCCCGCCUACUUUCAGUCAUUCUUGCUAUGCACUGGUGAUUCCUUUAGGACGUACUCUGCCUCCUCCAUGACACAGCCACGUACACUCUCUUCUUCUCCGCACUUGUAGUUUUCUUGUGGUUUUACCACAUUACUGUAAGCAUCUGGCUAUUGUCUUCACCGAAAAUUUUCCUUGUAAGCACAAUAUGUGCUCAUCUCUAAAUUUCAAAGAUCUAGCACAUCUGGUAUAGAUUCCUAAGUGAAUAUAUUUCUGAAUGACUGAAUGAACAAGUGAGUGAAUGGAUAAAUGAUAUGGUCAAAGUAAAAUAGAAAAGUUAGUGAUGGUGCUUUGUUGAUAGACAACAGGUGACUCAGGCAGGAUAGGACAUCUUUAGCUCUCAUGGUGACAGUGGUAUUCUCUAAUCUUACUUUUAGUGUCAAACUAGAUCUCACUCUUACCUAAAAUAUAAACAUUUAGAACUUUGGGUGUAUACAUAUUGUGUGGCAGAAACUAUCUAGAAAAAUGGUGGAGUUAUACGUAAAUAUUUCAGUUAAUUACAGAAACAGCCAGUUCCACAAAAGCUAACAGUGAUAACAACACCAAUGACUAGGUUAGAAUUCAUCUUCUAACUUUAUAUUAAAUUCACUUCCCUUCUUUAAAAAGAAAUUUGUGAUAAAGAAACAAUGGCAUCUUAGAUCCUGUUGUGUGUGAUCUCAAUCUGCGUCACUUCUAAGAGGACUUUUCCGGUCUUAAUUACCAUCCGUUUUCUGAUAUCAGUGCUGCUGUCAUUGGACUUUCAAUCAAGGAAGCAAAGCGAGUCCUAGGAUGUUAUGAGUUAGAUUAUUUUUACUUAUAUUUUCUACUAAAACACUUCUUCCUAAUACAAAAUUUGGCAUUUGUCUUAGGGUAACUAUUGCUAUGACUGAGCACCAUGACCAAAAGUAACUUGUGAAGGAACAGGUUAAUUUCACUCACAGUUCCAUCAUCAAAAGCAGUGAGGGCAGGAACUCAAGCAGGGCAGGAGCGUGGAGGCAGGAGCUGAUGCAGAGGCCAUUGGAGAGGGGCUGCUUACUAGCUUGAUCCCCAUGGCUUCCUCAGCCUGCUUUCUUAUAGAACAAAGACUGCCAGCCCAGGGAUGGCCCCACCCACAAUGGACUGGGCCCUCUGCCAUCAAUCACUAAUUAAGAAAAUGCCCUACAGGCUUGCCUACAGCUGGAUCAUAUGUAGACAUUUUCUCAAUUGAUGAUCUCUCCUCUCAGAUGACAUAAUACUUCAUAGCAAAAAUAAGUAAGGAAGCUGGUAUUGUGGCACAUACCUUUAAUCCUAGAAUUUGGGAGGCAGAGGCUAAAGGAUCUCUGUGAUUUCAAGGUUAGUCUGGUCUACAUAGUGAGUUCCAGGACAGUCAGAGCUACAUAUCAAGAUGCUGUCUCAAACAGCAACAAUAAUAAUAAAGUAAAUGAGAUACAGGUUCAUUAUGGCUAAAUAAGUAAUACAAAAUUAUUUACAAGGUCUCUAGACACAUGGGAGCACAAUACUUCCUAUUACCUUAGCUGUGCCAAAAAGUUUGAACAUAAGACAUAUUACAUAUUUAAUGAGAACCUUUCAGUACAAAAGGAAAAAUCAGCAAGUUUUGGAACUUGUGAGUAGCUGAAUACUAAAAUUUAAAAUCUCACUAAGUGCAUCUUAGAAUUGAUUUUCUAAUCCAUUGUGUCACAACUAAUAACUGAAGCAACUUCAUCUCCAGGGCAGAGAGGAGCAGUUAUCAAACAUUAGAGUUCUGUUUUAAGUAUCACAUGUAUCCAUAAUUGUAGAUAAUUAUGCAUUAACUUACACAUAUAUCACAUAUUUUGAUUUAUUGAUACAUGUUUGUGAAAUACUGAUUGUGAUUGGUUCUUCAUUUAAGAUGUAAAACAAUUAAAUUUAAAUUUUUUUUAGAAUUUCUUACAUGACUACUGUAUUUAUGCCAUUUCGACAUUACCCUUUAAGCCCUCCAAUUCCUCCAACUUCCACCUAACUCUCUCUCAAAUUCAGGACUUUUUCAAUUAUAUGAGGUGUGUGUGUGUGUAUGUGUGUGUGUGUGUGUGUAUGUGUGUGUGUGUGUAAAUACAAUAUGCUGAAUCCAUUUAGUGUUGCUCAUAUAUAUAUGUGUUUAAGGCUGCACGCUUGGGACGGGAUAACCCAUCAGGAGGUCCAUCCCUUGAGUGGAAAACUGAUUAUUUCCCAGCAGCCACCUGGAGCUCUUCAUUCAUGAGUGAGACCUAUGAGAUUCUUUUUUCCCACCUACUUUGGGAAGUCAGCUGAUAUUGUCAUUGUUCAGGUCUUGCUUAGAUGGCCAUAUUGUUAAGAUUUUAGGGGUACAACUCCCUGUCACAAUAUAUAGAAAAAGCAAUUUUGCAAUAGAAGCCCUGGUUCUCUGACGCUUACAUUUUCUCACUCCCUUUUCUGCUAUGCUAGUUGAGACUUAGGUGAAAGGCUUCUAUUACAGAUAAAUGAAUUGAAGAUGUGUACUACAAGGUCAGUUCUCUUCAUAUUGACCAGUUGUAGAUUUCUGUAAUGAUCUGCAAAGGUCUGUGACAUCAGCAGCCAUGGGUAGUUUGACUUGGUUUAUAGCACCAGGCAUGGAUUCACUUCUACUGAGCUGGUCUUAUAUCCAACUACAUAGCUGUUGGUGGUCACCAUGAUACAAGCACUACUAUUGCAACAUUGGAGGUAUCGUGUCAUGCUGUUCAUGUUGUGGCUCAUGGGCUUUACAGCCAGGUAGGAGCAGUGAUUUUUUAUUUUUUUUUCCUGGGAAGCUUGUAUAGCACCUUCAGAUACUAGGAGAGUUAGUCCUCAGGAAGGAGGCUUCCAGGCCAGUUCCAGCUUGAUUCCUCCAAGUCAUGUGUCUUUAGCAAUAGUUUCUUACCUUCAAUUUAUGGAAGACAAGCAAGGGCAAUAGAAAUUGCCUGCAUUAUUUACAGAGUCUUUUUGAUUCCUUUGACCAAGAACUAGAAGAGAGGUUUCCUAUGGCACUGAGAUUUGCGUUAAGUAGUCUAUGCAACUUGUAAGGGGGUAUUAUUACCCCAAGUGGUAUAGCAACAUAUAUAUAUAUAUAUAUAUAUAUAUAUAUAUAUAUAUAUAGAGAGAGAGAGAGAGAGAGAGAGAGACACUAUAUAGUGUAUAUAUAUAUGAAUAUAUAUAGUGUGUGCGUUAAUUUUUAAAUAAGCACAAAAUAAUGUUUCCUUGUGGUCUUUUCAAUUGCCAUUGAUUUUUUUUGUCUCUCUUUCUCUGUAUUGCUCUCCCUGCCUCUUCUCCAGUUAAAUUUGAAGCCUAACUAUCAAACUCCCCCCAUACAAAUUAUUGCCUUUGCUAUCACCAAGUGUUUUUAUAAUGAUUUGCCACUUAUAGAAUAGUUUCAUGGUUAUUUCUCAGUGAUCUUACUUUACUUUUAGAAACCUAAAAGUUAAGAUAAUAAAUGCAUACUUAAAUACACAUCAUAUGUAUUCAUAUUCUAGCUGUUCUUUCCUAAUAGCAAAAAUAGAUUCAGAAAUGCAAAAAAAAAUUUUAAAUUAAAAUGUAAUAAACUUCCCAAAUUGCCCCAGGGGUGAAGUUCUUUCCCAGCAGAUGAAGAUGAUGCUUUGGGUGCCAUGGAACAUCAGGAACUUUUCUGAACACAUACAAAAGGCAGGUCAAAAACUCUGUAUUUUCAUCACUUUACAAGUUAAAACAAAACAGAAUAAUGGUCUUUUAUAGUAGACAAAUUAGUCUUGCAUGGUGAAGCAUACCUUUAAUCCUGUCAUUGAGGAGACUUGUAAGACCAAGGCCAAUUUAGGUUACAUACAGAUGCUCACGUUCAGAAAAAAUAAAAACAAGGGCAAUCGAUGAUAUGUUCUAAAGCAUUUCCCCAUAAUUACCAGACACUGUCCUUCUCUACCUUCUUCUUCUCCUCCAAGGCCACUCACCUACCCCUCUGUGUCUGAGAAGCAAGGACUCUGAACACCAUCUACUUUAAAAUACUUGGUAAUCCCAGAGCUUAUGUAGUGCCCAUGACUGGGAAAGCACUUUACAGCAUCAGUUACCCGGUUAUGUAACAUUUCUGUAACUACUGUAGAGAAGAUUAUAGCUAUAAGAAUAUUAGUGUUCCCCACUGAGCUGCUGGAAUUGUCCAAGACCACACUGGUGAUAAGCCAAAUAUAUUUCUAAGCACAUUGCACACUACUGAUUUUUCAACUAACUAUUAAUAGGGAUGAGGUUAUCUAUAUUUUAUGCAUAAAGGAGCCAACACUCACAGUGAUUUGUAAGUGUGCCAUAGUAAUACAAUUUGCAAAAAGAGAAGCUGAAUAAAAGCCCUGGAAACUAAUCAAAACACAAAAAUGUGUGUGCCUAUUGGAAGGAAUAAGAGGGACACAAACCCAGCAUCUGCACCACAUCACAACUGUCACCCUAGCUACCAUGGAUCCACGUAAACUAGACAGUGGGAUGUCACAAAAGGUUAUGGAGAACAGCAGAGGCUACAGAGAAUGCUCAGAGAUUAAGAACAUUUGUUGAUUUUGCAAAGGACUCUUGUUCUAUUCCCAGCACCUACAUAGUAGCUAACAACUAUCUAACUCCAGUUCCAGACAAUAUGAUGUUUUCUUCUGGCCUCUGAAGUGUUUCUGAGGUUUUAAUAGGCUAUUAUGCCCCAUAAGUCUCCUUCUCUGAGCAUAGAAGCAUGCUAUGCAUCUAGCAGUCCAGGAAAUGCUUUAAAAUGACUUACCUGAAUAUUCUUAAGGAAUCCACCUGUCUAUGCCAAAGCCCCCUGGACCGUUUACAAGGACAUUGCUGUCAUUCAUCUCAAGAGAAUUUUUUUCCAAAUUUUUGACAUGUCAAAUAUUUAGUAAAUUUAUGAUAUUUAGCAUAUAAACUAUGGAAAUAUAGAUACAUAUCAACCUAUGCAUACACAUGUUUAUAUAUAGACAUAUUGGAGAAUGUAUGCAGAUAUAUGCACACAUUUAUAGCAUGGUUUACAUAUUCAAAGCAGUUCCCUAAAAUGGUCACCUUGGAGAGCCAUGUAUUUCCCCAAAAAAAUUUCAAAAACACAAUUUUGGAGUUCAUUUAGAGGAACAUUUUAAGUGUUCUCACAAUUAUCUCAUCUUUCCAGGGAGGAAUUUUUUCUGGAAAGAAACAAGACUAUUUAAAGCAAGUGGGAUCUGAAACUAUAAAAUAAUGGCAUUAAUUUUCUUAUGAAAUUUGAACUUGGUUCUGAGAGCAAUUACAGAAGUGAGUGUGAGCUACAACAUGUUGACUAAUAGGCCCAUGGGCACAUGCCUGGGUUAGGCAGUACUUGCAAUUUCUAAUUUUCAGAUUAAAGUAACUCACAAUCAUUUCAGUGUGUGUGUGGUGGUGGUGGGGGUUAUCAUGCAUUCAGUCAAACAAUUUAAAUACAUGGGGUCCAUAUGUAAAAGACAAUGGAAAAUAAUGGCAAAUAUAAAAGUGGAUGUUACAUCUCUUUUUUUUCAGGGCAAACUAAAAAGCAACUUUAAACAUUGCAUAAAACCAAUUAGAGACAAGCUAGUUACUGCUGUAGGGAGAAGAAGGGCAACACCAUCUGUUUACAUUCUGCUUAAUCUUCUGAAUAGCUCUUUAGUUAUGUCCUCAGAACUUGGGCUUCUCAUACACAGUAAAAAUAUAAAAGAAGUUACUAGGGCUGACUUCAAGCAGACUUGUGUUUGAACUCAGAUGAACUCUAUACAUGGAAGUUACCUAAUAUGGCCAAGUCUCAUUCCUCGUCUAUAAAAUUACAGAAUGAGGAAGAGUAAACAUGGCAGUGAAAAUGCUGUACUUGUCCCAAUGCCUGGCAAUUUCCAAUAAUGACAAUCACUGCAAAACUAAAUUUUAAAGUCAUGGUUUUUAUUUUUAUGAGAACACUGCCAAAAGAAAACUUGAUCUCAAACUAUCUUUGUUUACAACUAUUAGUAUCCUUCCACCCACCUGUUAACAAGUAUUUGUUAAAUAUAUCUUGCACACAGAUCUAUGUCAGAGAUUCGAGGUAAAUCGUAUUUUCAGAGAGGUUAUACUUAACUCCAGAGGUGAAGGUUAUACUGCAUCAUAACACAAGAUAGAGCCCUAUUCAAGGAAAACAUACACCGGGUGUGUUAGCACCUUAUAGAGAAACAGGCUCAUUCUGAAAGACAGGAAAUGAUUCAUGCUUCGGGGGAUGAAAGGCAGAAUGGAAGGUUAUCUUAUGUAGAAAAGUUAAGAACAUCUUAAAGCAAAGAAGAGAGACCCAAACAUGUGGAGUAUUUCAGGGAAAUGCAGUUGUUUCAGUUGACAUAGUGUUUAAAGGAAGUCUCAAUAUGUAGACACUACAGGCACCACCCUGAGUUCUGGGAUGCUAAAUAAACAACUGAUUUUACUUAGUAGGCAGUCAUAAACCAAUGAAAAUCUUUGAAUAUAGGGGACCAUAGCGGAUGCUCAAUUUCAGGAAGUCUAAGCUGGAAGUGACCCAUACUGAACGUUGAAGAGAGAAAAGUUUAGAAGUAAAAAAGACCAGCAGCAAAGUCAGUAAAGUGAUUAGACAUGUAACUGUUUAGAUAUAUGUUGACUACAGUACAAAGGACAACAUACCACCCUCACUGUGCCAGUAAUGAUCAACAUUUUGCCUAAUGUUACUAAUUGAUUUAUUCCCUCAUGAUUUUUAUUGGAAUAUUUAAAGCAAAGGUCAUCCUGUUAUUUAAAAACAAUUAUGUGUUUAUCUCUGAUAAGGACCACUUUUGAUAAAUUAUAUACCCCUUUCUUAUACCAUAGGUCUCUAAUGUUAUCUUUUACACAUUUGUAUACAUAUUUCCCCAUUUAUAUCAAAUAUGACCCUCUAUAAUUUGUUCAAAUCUAAAUCAAACAAGAUCCACACUUUACUUUUGGCUAUCAUGUAUACAACAUGCUAUGGUAUGGUAUUUUAUUUGGUGAUUAUUAGCAUGCUUCCCUCCAUUUGUUUUUCUACAUUUAUAUGUUGGGUGAUAUUAUUUCAUGUUUUAUAACUGGACUGUUGCACUAUUUUCUAUUCCUAAGGUAAAACUGUGACUAAUCUAACCUUCAUCCAGCUGUGUCAUAAUUGCCAUGUACAGGACAUCAUACUGGAUGCUAAGUGUAAAUAAUCACAGCUAUCUGUAAAUCAGGUCCCCACCUCCAGGACUGCAGAAUCUGGAGGAAAAAUAAAGAUUAAAAUGCACAGAGAAUAAUACUGAUUUUCAUUAUUGAAAUAUUCAAAUGGCAACUGAGUUAUCCAAUUCAUCAAAGAAAUUAUAUGUUGAAUAUGACACAGAUUUAUUGAUACUGCCAGAAGUCCAGUGAGAACUGAGGAUAAAAAUCUCUUGCAGCUUGAACUACUGGAUUAGGGGAUUUCUAAAUGCAAUUUGCUAAUGAAGACAACACACUGCUGAGGAAAAAUCAUAGUGUUUGGUGGCUGAUGCAACUAACUUGAAAUAAAGCAUUUUCGGAGUACAAAAUAAUGAAAAGGUGAUUAAGCUCAAGUUUGAAAAAGACAUAAUUAAGUACAAGUUGUGUUUAGGGGCCAUGGAGCUUUCAGUGUUUGGGGUAUAAUUAAUAAAAAUGUAUAAAGGAAUAAUGGAAACUCCAGCACUAUAAAAAGCAAUCAAAUUGUUGAGAUCUUUAAAUAAAAAGGCUUUUUCAAUUUGUAGAAAUGCUAUUUGAAUAUACAAAUGAACUUAAUAAAACAUGAUUUUGGAAAUGUG
RNA transcript from Peromyscus californicus insignis, 11857 nucleotides. It is a transcript of the gene named KH RNA binding domain containing, signal transduction associated 2, with no coding region annotated. The transcript is spliced from 15 exons. The record is from RefSeq and is a predicted model, not a curated record. Lineage: Eukaryota; Metazoa; Chordata; Mammalia; Rodentia; Cricetidae.